UACAGAGGUCUCAAGCGUUGUUCGGAUUCAUUGGGCGUAAAGGGUGCGUAGGUGGCGCGUUAAGUCAGGUGUGAAAUUUCGGAGCUUAACUCCGAAACUGCAUUUGAUACUGGCGUGCUUGAGGACUGGAGAGGAGACUGGAAUUCACGGUGUAGCAGUGAAAUGCGUAGAUAUCGUGAGGAAGACCAGUGGCGAAGGCGGGUCUCUGGACAGUUCCUGACACUGAGGCACGAAGGCCAGGGGAGCGAACGGG
RNAcentral lists this ribosomal RNA (253 nucleotides) under uncultured bacterium. RNAcentral describes it as "partial 16S ribosomal RNA". It matches the Rfam family "Bacterial small subunit ribosomal RNA", at positions 524 to 776 of the family's 1533-position model. The record is from RNAcentral.